CCCCGCCCCGCCCGGCCCCCCCACCCGCGCGGCAACCUGCCCUGCAGAUCGGGAUAACUCCGCGGAAACCGGUGCUAAUACCGAAUAGUUUGCGGCCUCUCAUGAGGCUGUACGGAAAGACGGUUUCGGCUGUCACUGCAGGAUGGGCCCGCGGCGCAUUAGCUAGUUGGUGGGGUAACGGCCCACCAAGGCGACGAUGCGUAGCCGACCUGAGAGGGUGAUCGGCCACACUGGGACUGAGACACGGCCCAGACUCCUACGGGAGGCAGCAGUAGGGAAUCUUCCGCAAUGGACGAAAGUCUGACGGAGCAACGCCGCGUGAGUGAAGAAGGUUUUCGGAUCGUAAAACUCUGUUGUGAGGGAAGAACAAGUACCAAAUAACUACUGGACCUUGACGGUACCUCACCAAAAAGCCACGGCUAACUACCUGCCAGCACCCGCGGUAAUACGUAGGUGGCAAGCGUUGUCCG
This 470-nucleotide ribosomal RNA is filed under the name Planococcus plakortidis. Its description in RNAcentral is "bacterial SSU rRNA". It matches the Rfam family "Bacterial small subunit ribosomal RNA", at positions 91 to 547 of the family's 1533-position model. Lineage: Bacteria; Bacillati; Bacillota; Bacilli; Caryophanales; Caryophanaceae. The record is from RNAcentral.